RNAcentral lists this long non-coding RNA (613 nucleotides) under Rattus norvegicus (Norway rat). Its description in RNAcentral is "long non-coding RNA NONRATT030791". Lineage: Eukaryota; Metazoa; Chordata; Mammalia; Rodentia; Muridae. The record is from RNAcentral.
GAAACCUUGGUGUUUGGGCACAUAGGCCGGAACCAUGUAUCAAGGUUACAUCUAUACGUAUCGAGUGUCCCAGACAGAAACAGGCUCUUGGAGUGCUGAGACAGCACCUGGGGUACAUAAAAGAUUUUUCCGGAAAGUAAAAAAUCUCAUUUCAGCAUUUCAGAAGCCAGAUCAAGGCAUCGUAACGCCUCUGCAGUAUCCAGUUGAAAAGUCCUCGGCUAGGAGUCCACAAGCUCCCACAGGGAGAAGAGAUUCUGAUAUCUGCUUGAAAGCGCCAUGAAGAAGAGUAACUCUGUACUUUAUUUUCAAUAAUUUAAGUAUGUUCCAAGUCUUGUAUAUUGUAGCUAAUACAGUUCAGCGAGCUGCAAAUGCCUUUUAAACACGACUCGAGUCCUGUAAUAGCACUCGCCUGAUGUCAAAGCUGCAAGUGGACGUGGUAGAUAACAAGUGCUUUAAAGCACGGAUUGGAAAACAGAAUCCCUUAGGGUAUUUUUAGUUGCCGUAUUUACAAAUGAGAAACAAUUUAAAAGCACAAUGAAGACUUUACACAAGAUUAAUGUCGAUUCUUGCCAAAUGUAAAUAAAAAUAAUCUCCUUUUUUUUUUUGGUCAAAA